Molecule: unclassified non-coding RNA, 295 nt
Filed under: Hevea brasiliensis (rubber tree)
Lineage: Eukaryota; Viridiplantae; Streptophyta; Magnoliopsida; Malpighiales; Euphorbiaceae
Source: RNAcentral
UGUGCUUGUCUUCAACAAACUUUGCAAUAGCGUACUGGCUAGAUCCAGUCCGCUCCUUCAGGGAAGAGAUUGCUUCGCUGAUCAUCUCAAGAUAGGUAGGAUGGAGAGCUGGCUUCUUUGCAACGGAGGCCUUCUUCACCUUAGGGGUCUUUGCCUUUGUCUCCUUGGCCGGCUUCGCUACCGAAUCAUCUCCGACGACAGGGACCGGAGCAAAGGCGGGAGUUUCGAUUGCAACGGUGGCCGCCAUCACAGGGGACUUGAAAGUGAGGGAGGGGAUUGAGACAAUGAGGGAAAG